CAACUUAGAACAAAAUAUAAACGCAAACGAUAAUUACGAAUUAGCAGCUGCCUAAGUGCAGCUCUUGUCGGCUCUAGGCAUCCUGUGGCUUAGAAUCCCGGCAUCAUGUUAGCAGGGACCUCUAUCUUCAAAGCUUUGAGAAGGUAGAAGAUAUAUGAAGCUACCAAAACCGGAAGCCUGUCUGUCGGCGGCCGGUAGCGGGAACAGUGUGGUAAGGCCACACAUAAUAGACCGACUGUAAUGGGAGAAGCUGCAAUGGAAGGGCUUUCGGACGCGGGUUCGACUCCCGCCAGCUCCAUUG
Molecule: transfer-messenger RNA, 301 nt
Filed under: Clostridiales bacterium
Lineage: Bacteria; Bacillati; Bacillota; Clostridia; Eubacteriales
Description: partial transfer-messenger RNA
Rfam family: transfer-messenger RNA
About the family: Bacterial tmRNA, also known as 10Sa RNA or SsrA, is named for its dual tRNA and mRNA-like properties. Its role is to liberate the mRNA from a stalled ribosome.
Source: RNAcentral